Nerophis ophidion (straightnose pipefish) is the source of this 3171-nucleotide RNA transcript. RefSeq lists it as uncharacterized. Lineage: Eukaryota; Metazoa; Chordata; Actinopteri; Syngnathiformes; Syngnathidae. The transcript is spliced from 24 exons. The record is from RefSeq and is a predicted model, not a curated record.
CUUCAUACACGGUCUUAACUACCACACACUUUCCAAAGACUUCCAUCGACUCAAUGUAUGUGUGUGUGUUUUACGACCCACCGGAGAAGCCCACCCCCGUGUCAGGGUUCGUAGUGGGGGCAUAAAGUGGGCCAAUGAGGGGUCUCCGCGGUGUAAAAGCUGCUGUUAACAGAGAAAGACGACAGGAAGUGUCAAGUCAGUCUCCACCAACAUCAGGCAGCUUGGAAGGUUUUCGCGCUCUUUUUUAAAAACACUGAAUUAAACGAUGGCUCACCUCUGCAUCUUCCUGCUGGUCGCCUCGGUGGUGGCUGAGCCUCUGAACAACAGUCUUGAGGAAAAUGAAAUUGAAGUCCUUACAAGCACACAACCCCACCUCAUCCAGAUCCAGGACCAGUUGACUGAAAAUCUCAUUGGAAAUCUCAGUGAGCCUACUCCAACUCACACACCUACUACAGUGGCUACUUUCAGUACUACAAGUGUUAGCCGAGCGUCCACUACGGCCACUAUCCAGGCCUCCAGUCUCGCUCCUCUGUGUCCCGGCAACCAGGUGAGGCUCGAGGGCAGCUCAGAGUGCAGCUGCCCAUCAUCGAACAUGCUGAAGGAUGGCGAUGUCUGCACCUGCCUCCCCGGCUUCAGUGCAGCGGGAUGUAAAGACAUUGAUGAGUGUGCAGAAGAGGAACCGUGCGGUCCUCACGCCAGCUGCACCAACACCCCCGGCUCAUACUCGUGUGGCUGUCACCGUGGUUACAUGGCAGGCGGUGGAGGGUGCCAGGAUAUAGACGAGUGUGCUCUGGCGGAACUGACGGGCCUGCAGGCCUGCAAGGACAAUGCACAGUGCACAAACACCCCUGGUUCCUUCACUUGCUCCUGCCUGAUGGGUUAUGUCAUGGCCCUGGAUGGACUAAACUGUGAAGACGUGGACGAGUGUAGCUUCAUGGAGCUGUGUAGCCGUGAGCUGGGAACUGUGUGCCUGAACAGCCCGGGUAGUUUUGUGUGUCAGUGUCGGCUAGGAUUCACAGCAGAGGCCCCGGUUUGUGUUGCUGCAACGUGUCCAAACGUCACCAAAUGUCAAGAUGUGGAUGAAUGCUUGGAAAGUCCCACCGUGUGUGAGGGUCGCGGGGUUUGUGAGAACACGCUCGGGAGUUACAAGUGUGUGUGCCCGCCCGGUUACCGGGGAAACGGCACCCACUGUGAAGAUACGAACGAGUGCGCAUCAGGUGUUCAUGGCUGCGACGUUAACGCUCGGUGUGGCAACAUCAUUGGCUCGUACUUCUGCCAGUGCUACCAGGGCUUCAAUGGAGAUGGACAUACUUGCUUUGAUAUUGAUGAGUGUGCUGUUGAUAAAGGACACUGUGACCACAACUGUACCAAUCAACCAGGUGGGUACACUUGCCAGUGUGCCUCUGGCUACCAGCUAAGCCAGGAUGAACGUAAAUGCACAGACGUAAACGAGUGUUUGUCCCUGAGUGGAAUCUGUGAGCACAUCUGUGACAACAUUCCGGGAUCUUAUCGGUGCUCUUGCAAGCCCGGCUACCAGCUUCACAUUGACGGUCACACCUGUGUGGACGUAGAUGAAUGCAAACUCCAGAACGGUGGCUGCUCCCACACCUGCAGCAAUUCUCCAGGGGGGCACGAUUGCCACUGCCCUCCUCCUCUGCUGCUACACACGGACAACUUCACCUGCAGCAACGUCACAUCUUGUAAACUGAGAAACGGCGGUUGCGAGCACGUGUGCGCGACCGGUGCUGAGGGCCAGGUCCAGUGUAGCUGCCGCACUGGGUGGAAGCUGAGCGAGGACCAGAGAGGUUGCGUGGACCUGGACGAGUGCGGGGACUUUACAAACGGAGGCUGUGAGCAGCUCUGUAAGAACCACCCGGGAGCCUUCAACUGUACCUGCAGGGAAGGCUAUCAGGUUCAAACAGACGACCGCACCAAGUGCCAGCCUGUGUGUGACCCUCCCUGUCGGAAUUACGGAGUGUGCGUGGCGCCAAACAGCUGUGACUGUCCUCCGGGAUACCCUGGCCUUGGCUGCUCAGCCAUGUGCUCCCCUCCUUGUGCGCAUGGAGGCACAUGUAUGCGCUGGAACAAGUGUCUGUGUCCUUCAGGCUGGACUGGAGAAGGCUGCCAUACGGCCGUGUGCGAGCUGCCGUGCGCCAACGGUGGUCGCUGUGUGGGCCCCGAUACCUGCCAGUGUCCUUCUGACUACACGGGCCCCCAGUGCCUCCUGCCCUUGUGCACACCUGCCUGUCAAAAUGGCGGUAGAUGCGUGGACGUGAAUAAAUGCACGUGUGUCAACGGAUGGCAUGGAGCUCGUUGCCAAAUAGAGCCUGUUCGGUGUCAGAAACCUUGUCAAAACGCUGGCGUGUGCGAAGGUCUCAACAGGUGUCGCUGUCCCAAAGGGUUUAUCGGACCUAUCUGUGAAACAGCCGUGACUACGCCCUGUGUGCCUCCAUGCCAGCACGGCGCCACCUGCAGUCCUCACAACACUUGCACCUGUCCGGAGGGCACGGCGGGCCUGCGCUGCGAGAGACUGACUUGCCCGGUGGUCACCACUGUGGUCAGCAUGGCUCGAGCAGUGAGAAAAGCCUUCAAGGAGAGCUACGUAGACCGUUGUGGACCCUUGGGGAUCCAGCUUUGCACCAAAUACAGGAUGAACCAAGCACGCGUGUACCUGCAAGCCUACAGGGUGGGCUACAAAAUCCAGUGUCCUGGGAAGCAAAGCGCUGUUUAAUAAACACCUGGUUCGCUGCAUUUCAGUCAAUGUUAAAGCAGCUAUCAGUCAGUUAAAACAUGGAAAGAAGACAACUUAAUCCUUAAAGUUUAAGUGUUUAGGGCACAUCCGACCGGUAGGAGGCCACGGGGAAGACCCAGGACAGGUUGGGAAGACUAUGUCUCCCGGCUGGCCUGGGAACGGCUCGGGAUCCCCUGGCAGGAACUGGACAACGUUGCUGGGGAGAGGAAAGUCUGUGCUUCCCUGCUUAGGCUGCUGCCCUUGCGACCCAAUCUCAGAUAAGCGGAAGAAAAUAGAUGGAUGGAGGUUUAAGUAACGUUUUUGUUCUUCACUGGUCGAAUUUAUGCUUUUUUUAUUGUCUAGUUUGAGCUCUGGUGGUGUAUUGGUACAUGUUGUUACCUUUCUUUUUUAGCAGGUGGUGCUGGUUUGAUUCCCGAAUA